Pezoporus occidentalis (night parrot) is the source of this 1468-nucleotide long non-coding RNA. RefSeq lists it as uncharacterized. The record is from RefSeq and is a predicted model, not a curated record. Lineage: Eukaryota; Metazoa; Chordata; Aves; Psittaciformes; Psittacidae. The transcript is spliced from 4 exons.
UUUGUGCUUUUGUAUUGCCUGGGAGAGUUUGCUAAGGCCUUGUGAGAGAUUGAACUGGGCAUCUGAUGCCACCUGUGAAAAUCCCACUGGUAACAGCUAAAAAUUCGCCUCUGUGCUUCUGCUGGAAGCAAAACUCUUUUCCUAAGCUGUGGUGUGACUCUCACUGCUGUGGCUGCCAGAGAAGGAAAGCCUUUUAAUUGAAGUCUUACACCUGAAUGACUGUUAUCCCUGCAGGAAAGAAAAAAAAAAAACCAACAAACCCCCUCAUGGGACCAACAGAUAACUAAUGAGUCUGUCUGCUGAGAGGCAGCAAGAGAAGCAUGUCACCUUGUCUUGUUUGGUUUGGCAGAGCUGGAGCACUCGUAAGAGACGAAGCUGCUACAACUUGCCUCCCCAGCUCCCAGAGCCACACAGCCUCUGCUGCCAAAAGCGUUCUUCCACCGCAGCAUGCGCGGCAGGUGACAUAGGACUGGAAGAACUAAGGAUUAUGAAGAGGCCUGUGAUAUAGACCUUUCAGCUUGAAUUGAUAAGGGAGGAGGGUGCAGAACAAUCUAAAACUCUGCUCAAGAACAAGAUGCAGCCAACACUUUUCUUCAAAAGUUUGGAGGAGGCCCCUUCUUGUAGCUGCCAGCUCUGUACAGAAAACAGGGAGAAGCCAGAUCUGUGAUGGAUUCAUUCCAGGAUAGAACAGCAGAGCACACUAAAUCAUCUUCAUCCAACUAGUUAGCUGCAUUUAUUGAAUGUAAAUAUUUUAGGGUUAAUUUCUACAUAUACAUAUAGAAUGUAUUUGGUUAUCCACUGACCAUUUUAAAACUGUAAGGCAGAUCUUCAAGUAACAUAAGUUGCCUAAUUGUUCUGUAACAUCUGAAGAUAUGACUCAUUGUUUCUUAAGCCAUCAUCUAAAUAUAUAGGACAUUUUCUGUGAAAUUUGGGGCACUCAAUUCUGCCACCAGUGAAUUGAACUCUUCAGAGUUGCAUGGCUGUGAGUGUAGUUUCAGUAAUGCAAUUUUAUUACAAACAAAAAGUGCAAUCUUGUAAAUCAUAAUUUGUGUUGUUUUCUCAACAUCAUGUACCGUAUUUUUUCUUUAGAAAGUUUUAGUGACAAUCACAGAAUCAAGCUUUUUGUUCUAGGAGCCAGUCCAGUCUGCACAUGAUUAAAAAAAGUGAUAAAGUAGCAAUCCCUGGAGCAGAGGCCACAGGUCACACAUCUCUUUUAACACCCUGUUGUAGCUGAUCUUUCUUGCAUAGCUAAUUGCCUCUGGUAAAUCCAAAAAGCAACAGAAAAGAACAGGCUAACUUUGCAUGUUCCUGUCAGUAAAACAUCACAAAGAAAUGUUCCUAGCACUCCUGAAGUGCUCAGGAAAAUAACCUAGCAAGAUGUUUAACUGAAGUAUAAACCCCUUAGAGAACCUAAGCAGCAAAACCUCCCUAUACCUUUUAAUGUGUCUUUAAAUCAUGAACACUUUUU